UACGUAGGGUGCAAGCGUUAAUCGGAAUUACUGGGCGUAAAGCGUGCGCAGGCGGUUGUGCAAGACAGAUGUGAAAUCCCCGGGCUCAACCUGGGAAUGGCCGUUGAAACUGGCGAACUGGAGUGUGGCAGAGGGGGGUGGAAUUCCGCGUGUAGCAGUGAAAUGCGUAGAGAUGCGGAGGAACACCGAUGGCGAAGGCAGCCCCCUGGGCUAACACUGACGCUCAGGCACGAAAGCGUGGGGAGCAAACAGG
RNAcentral lists this ribosomal RNA (253 nucleotides) under uncultured bacterium. RNAcentral describes it as "partial 16S ribosomal RNA". It matches the Rfam family "Bacterial small subunit ribosomal RNA", at positions 524 to 776 of the family's 1533-position model. The record is from RNAcentral.